ACAGCUUUGUGUUCAUCCCUCCAGCAGCUGAUGGAUUAUGGAUCAUUUCCAGUUUGACCAUUAUGAAUAAUACUACUGGAAACACUUGCAUGCAAGGAAUCUGUGGACAUGUGCUUUCACUUCUCGAGGAAAUGAAGACUCAGAAAGGCCCAGAGAAUUACACAGCUGGUUGUGUCUGAGCUGGAACUUGAGCUUCGAUCUCUUGAUGCCCAAUGAGAUGGCCCUCCACUGCUCUAGGCUGACCACCUGCCGGCUUGUCCGCUGCAUGCUGGGGUCACCAUCAUCAAGUGUAAACAAGUUACCGGUUUCAGUAGCCUAUGGACUAGCACUUUCCCCAAUUUUUGUCAUUGUAAACGCUGAUAAUCAGUCACUCCAUUCUUUCCAUUGAUCUUGAACUAGGCGUCCGACGUCCCGGACGUUACUUCCAGUCAGAAGGAAGACGAAGCCUCUUUGCCUGCCUUGCAACAGCUGCUUUUAAAGCUUCUUCUGCGACCCUGGGGAAUUAUGUGUGUGUGUGUGUGUGUGUGUGUGUGUGUGUGUGUACGUACAUGUGCACACACAGACCAUCACCACCACUAACAGUUUGAGUAAAAGCCGACUUUACAGGAAAUAUCAUCCUAAAUUGAAAGCGUCAGGGGUUCCUGGGUUCUUCCCCUUCAUUAACUGAUAAAGUGACAGAGCUGGGAAAUGGAGGGGCAGACUCCGUCCGGAGGGGAAUGCGUACGUGUGUGGUAGAACAUCUGUCUAACAUCAUUCCACAACGCUCAGAGGAAUGACUAACAGGUCUGGAAAUGCAGGCCUGGGAAAACCAACAAGUUGAAGUUCAGGGCAACAGCUGAUGUGUGAAAAAAAUUAAGCUUAAAAGAAUUUAUUUUCAAAGACUAGUGAA
Molecule: long non-coding RNA, 889 nt
Organism: Dama dama (fallow deer)
Lineage: Eukaryota; Metazoa; Chordata; Mammalia; Artiodactyla; Cervidae
Exons: 2
Source: RefSeq, a predicted model, not a curated record